UACGUAGGGGGCAAGCGUUGUCCGGAUUUAUUGGGCGUAAAGAGCGUGUAGGCGGCCAGGUAGGUCUGCUGUGAAAACUCGAGGCUUAACCUCGAGCUGUCGGCGGAAACCAUCUGGCUAGAGUCCGGAAGAGGAGAAUGGAAUUCCCGGUGUAGCGGUGAAAUGCGCAGAUAUCGGGAAGAACACCCGUGGCGAAGGCGGGUCUCUGGACAGUUCCUGACACUGAGGCACGAAGGCCAGGGGAGCAAACGGG
RNAcentral lists this ribosomal RNA (253 nucleotides) under uncultured bacterium. Its description in RNAcentral is "partial 16S ribosomal RNA". It matches the Rfam family "Bacterial small subunit ribosomal RNA", at positions 524 to 776 of the family's 1533-position model. The record is from RNAcentral.